AGUAUGAGAUGAACUUGAAACUUAAGGUACUUGGCGGUUUUUUAGGCCAGUUAGAGGAACCUGUUCUUUAAUCGAUAAUCCUCGUAGGUUUUUACUUUUUUUUUAAAUAUCGCCGUCGACGACAGGUCAAGAUUUAGCUAGUGGGAAAGGUUGAAAAAGGAUUUAAAAGUUAAAGGAGUUAAUUUGGGCUCUAAAAAAAGU
Molecule: ribosomal RNA, 201 nt
Filed under: Sarax sp. 3 GSM-2017
Lineage: Eukaryota; Metazoa; Arthropoda; Arachnida; Amblypygi; Charinidae
Description: partial small subunit ribosomal RNA
Source: RNAcentral